AGCGAGGUCCUGGUGUCUGUCAGAUAUGUCCUUCAUCCCAGGAGGAGAUAAAACAGCCUCCCAUCAGUCAGAUAACACGAUAAUUAGACAGAGUGAUAAUGCAUUUAUCCUGGUGCUUACAAUCCUUGAUCAUUUACUGCAAUUAUGUAUACAGGCCACAGCAGCCAGUGUCUUUAAUUAUAACCUUGAUGGCCCAAUGAUAGGAAGAAGGAAUCUUCCUAAGGAUCUCACCCAGGAAAAAACCAAAUAGGUGAUACUGUCCCUGUACCUGAGUGGACAAGGCUCCUGGAUCCGGAACAUGAGGGCUUAUGCCCAGUCUAAAACCCUCAAAGACAUCAGGAGAAAUGCAGCAGGAAAAUGACUAUUUCCUUACACUUUUGCAUGGAGAAAUGCAUCUGAUCAAAGCAUGACCAUGGGGAUUUCAGUGGAAAUGUCAUUGCCCUCCAUAUUAUACAGAAAGGGAAGUGCAAAGCUCUUGCAAAUCAGGAACUCGUGGGAAAACCCCGCUGUAUCCAGUGCUGGCAGAAUGAAUCACCUCAGCUCCCAAAACGGGAGGAACUUGGGGGACCUCUCUGUUGAUGGAGAACAAGAGGGAAGCAGAUGUCUCCCAGGCCAGCAGGGAAUGAUGGACUCACCAUCUAGAGAGCACAGCCGGAGAGUCUUGUCACUCACCCUGGGGCCAGGUGGGGGCUCAGAAAUCCUCAGUUUUUCCCUUCUGCUUAUAAA
Pipra filicauda (Wire-tailed manakin) is the source of this 726-nucleotide long non-coding RNA. RefSeq lists it as uncharacterized. NCBI's taxonomy places the organism in Eukaryota, Metazoa, Chordata, Aves, Passeriformes, Pipridae. The record is from RefSeq and is a predicted model, not a curated record. The transcript is spliced from 3 exons.